RNAcentral lists this ribosomal RNA (250 nucleotides) under uncultured Alphaproteobacteria bacterium. RNAcentral's name for it is "partial 16S ribosomal RNA". It matches the Rfam family "Bacterial small subunit ribosomal RNA", at positions 524 to 773 of the family's 1533-position model. Lineage: Bacteria; Pseudomonadati; Pseudomonadota; Alphaproteobacteria. The record is from RNAcentral.
UACGAAGGGGGCUAGCGUUGUUCGGAAUUACUGGGCGUAAAGCGCACGCAGGCGGAUCGAUAAGUCAGGGGUGAAAUCCCGGGGCUCAACCUCGGAAUUGCCUUUGAUACUGUCGAUCUCGAGUCCGGGAGAGGUGAGUGGAAUUCCUAGUGUAGAGGUGAAAUUCGUAGAUAUUAGGAAGAACACCAGUGGCGAAGGCGGCUCACUGGCCCGGUACUGACGCUCAGGUGCGAAAGCGUGGGGAGCAAAC